This 30-nucleotide non-coding RNA is filed under the name Homo sapiens (human). The record is from RNAcentral. Lineage: Eukaryota; Metazoa; Chordata; Mammalia; Primates; Hominidae.
UUAAGGGGAACGUGUGGGCUAUUUAGGCUA